AGGGAAUCUUCCGCAAUGGACGAAAGUCUGACGGAGCAACGCCGCGUGAGUGAUGAAGGCCUUCGGGUCGUAAAGCUCUGUCCUUCGGGAUGAUAAUGACAGUACCGAAGGAGGAAGUCCCGGCUAACUACGUGCCAGCAGCCGCGGUAAGACGUAGGGGGCGAGCGUUGUCCGGAAUUAUUGGGCGUAAAGGGCGUGUAGGCGGUCGCUUAAGUCCGAUGUGAAAGGUCUCGGCUCAACCGAGGAUGUGCAUUGGAGACUGGGUGACUUGAGUGCAGGAGAGGAGAGCGGAAUUCCCGGUGUAGCGGUGGAAUGCGUAGAUAUCGGGAGGAACACCAGUGGCGAAGGCGGCUCUCUGGACUGUAACUGACGCUGAGGCGCGAAAGCUGGGGGAGCGAAC
This 400-nucleotide ribosomal RNA is filed under the name uncultured bacterium. Its description in RNAcentral is "bacterial SSU rRNA". It matches the Rfam family "Bacterial small subunit ribosomal RNA", at positions 356 to 773 of the family's 1533-position model. The record is from RNAcentral.